AUGAAGUAUCGCGGAGCCGCUUCGGCGGCGCCCGGCUCAACCACCCUUGUGCACUGUAACGUACCCUGGCGGUUAGACGGUUAGUCUGGCCGCCGAAGGGCCUCUUUAACCGGAGGUCCGCCAACCAACUCUUAAAUCGAGGCUGAAAUUACAUUCUUAUAAUGCUAAGA
Molecule: unclassified non-coding RNA, 170 nt
Filed under: uncultured fungus
Lineage: Eukaryota; Fungi
Description: sequence contains ITS1
Source: RNAcentral